Leptonychotes weddellii (Weddell seal) is the source of this 456-nucleotide non-coding RNA. The record is from RefSeq and is a predicted model, not a curated record. Lineage: Eukaryota; Metazoa; Chordata; Mammalia; Carnivora; Phocidae.
AGCAUGGUCCUAUCUGCCAGUCCCGUCAUUCUUAAAGGAAAGGAGGACUUUUCCAGUCAUUAAAGAUCAGACACCAGGAAGAGGAAGGAGAUCUUUCAUACGAGGCCUAGUCUAGCCUCAGUUGGUCUCUCUGACCCGAGUUUCUGUUUCUUCUCUCAGGAGGGUCAUGAGAGAGCUGAAGGCCCUCUCGCUGAGUGGGGAGCCAGGUGGCAGGAUUACGUGCAGACCUGCUCUCCCGCCAAGUGCAAAUACCGCAUCCUUGCAGAGGGGAGAGAAACGCGGCCGUCGCCCUCCAUUUCCAAGUAGUCACUUGCGCUCUUUGACAGCUUACAAGAAGAUCGGAGUGAGGCAACAAACGAUGUUAAGUUGAAACCAAAAGAAAGGAAUGAAGGUAACAGCACCAGCUGCGCAAACCUGUAAAUCCCAGCAAGUCACUGAGUGCUGUGGGCUGGAUCC